RNAcentral lists this ribosomal RNA (280 nucleotides) under uncultured delta proteobacterium. Its description in RNAcentral is "partial 16S ribosomal RNA". It matches the Rfam family "Bacterial small subunit ribosomal RNA", at positions 229 to 500 of the family's 1533-position model. The record is from RNAcentral. Lineage: Bacteria; Deltaproteobacteria.
GCCUGCGGGGCAUUAGCUUGAUGGUGGGGUAAUGGCCUACCAUGGCGACGAUGCCUAGCCGGGUUGAGAGAUCGACCGGCCACACUGGAACUGAGACACGGUCCAGACUCCUACGGGAGGCAGCAGUGGGGAAUAUUGCGCAAUGGGCGAAAGCCUGACGCAGCAAUGCCGCGUGAGUGAGGAAGGUCUUCGGAUUGUAAAGCUCUGUCAAAGUGGAAAAACGGCUUAGUGUCUAAUAGGCAUUAAGUUUGAUGGUACACUUAAAGGAAGCACCGGCUAA